GAUGAACGCUGGCGGCGUGCCUAAUACAUGCAAGUCGAGCGAACAGACGAGGAGCUUGCUCCUCUGACGUUAGCGGCGGACGGGUGAGUAACACGUGGAUAACCUACCUAUAAGACUGGGAUAACUUCGGGAAACCGGAGCUAAUACCGGAUAAUAUAUUGAACCGCAUGGUUCAAUAGUGAAAGACGGCUUUGCUGUCACUUAUAGAUGGAUCCGCGCCGCAUUAGCUAGUUGGUAAGGUAACGGCUUACCAAGGCAACGAUGCGUAGCCGACCUGAGAGGGUGAUCAGCCACACUGGAACUGAGACACGGUCCAGACUCCUACGGGAGGCAGCAGUAGGGAAUCUUCCGCAAUGGGCGAAAGCCUGACGGAGCAACGCCGCGUGAGUGAUGAAGGUCUUCGGAUCGUAAAACUCUGUUAUUAGGGAAGAACAAAUGUGUAAGUAACUAUGCACGUCUUGACGGUACCUAAUCAGAAAGCCACGGCUAACUACGUG
Molecule: ribosomal RNA, 497 nt
Filed under: uncultured bacterium
Lineage: Bacteria
Description: partial 16S ribosomal RNA
Rfam family: Bacterial small subunit ribosomal RNA
Source: RNAcentral